CCAGUUAUACAAACAAAUGACAUCAAGCAUGGAGUGCUGAAUAUUGGCGUGGGACGCCAAUUUGAUUGUUGUGCAUAUGCGCGGUGUCAUGCGUACGCAUGAUGCUGAAUUUACCACGUGUGCGUACGCACAAUUGCAGAUGCAUACGCACUAGCGGCGUGGGACACUGAUGAUCUUGCUCCUCCUUCACGUGGGAUGCCACUGAUUUCCCUUUUCUCAAGUUCAAAUAAUUUAAACAUUAGCGUGGCACAUUAAAGAAGCGGCGUGGGACGCUGGGAUCAUGCUUCCUUUCAUUCUUCAUAUUUCAUUGCAUGCUUGUUUCCUUGCUUUAUUAUUUGCUUUGUACGCCAUGCUUCGUUCCUUGCUUCAUUCUUCAUUAUUAGUGUGGUACGCCAUUGCAUGCAUUCCUUUGCUUCAUUAAUUGUUGUGUGCUUCUCAUGAUUCAUUGAUUAAUAACUACCACAAAAACGGAAGAUAACGGCGGAAAAUUAGUAGCUGUUUUGACAACAGCCGCUACUUGUUAGUUUUCUGGCGGUUUUGGUGGUGACCACUGGAAAAAGCAGCAAUUUCUUUUGGUGAUGGUUCAACCUCCUUUUCUCUUGAUCUCAUUUUUCUUUCGUUAUCGCUUACAAGAGCCAGAACCCAAUGUCUCUCCUCCUCCCUCGGAUUCUCUUGCCAUAGCAUCUUGCCACCAUCAAAUUUGACCUUUGACGCCGCCAACCCCAUUAGACGCACCCUUUUCCCUUUUUUUCUCUCUUUGAAUAAACAUCCCCAAACCUUGCUAACCCUAAAUCUUCUUCCCCGAGGUACCAUUGGCGCUAUUUAUGCUCGUUCAGACGAAGACGACGACACUGGGCUCUCUAUUUUAUCUCGUCUGCCAGAUUUGCUCGCCAUCUCCUCCAAUUCCUACGUGGUUCAAAUCUGCUGCAGCUAUAUAGAUUCCUGAUGAAGAUAUUGGACUUUAUGAGGUUGCCAAGAAAAUCGAUGACAUAGUAUGGCUUCGGCACCUCGAGGAUCCUCUUGCUCCUCCUUACUCUUCUCUUCCUUGGCCUCAACCUUGGUACCCAGGUGUUUCUGCUUCUUCCACUUUCAUAAGCAUUCAACAACCUCACUUAUUUUAACCUAGAUUAGUUGAGGUGGGGUUUUAUAUCCCAUGCUGGUCUUUGGGAUAAAAGUCACUUGAUGAGACAUUGAGAAGAAGAACGGCAACAACUACCAGAUGAAAAUCCUCAAAAGUAUAUAUAUUUGUGCUUUACUUAUCUUCAAAAACUGCACAUGAAUGCAAAGUAGAGAAAAAGUGAGGAAGAACUAACAACACUCAAGCAAGACGCUAUCGAUGGAAAAAUAUCACCCUUAAACUCUGCCAGGAAAGUAAAGAAGUCUAAGAAGCAAAAAAUACGAGAGGAGUCUUAAACAUCACAUUGGAGUUUAAUUUUGUGCCAAUAUUUUUGUUCCCGGGUACAUUUCUAUUUUUUAUUGUUAACUAAAGGAUUUUGCUUUAAAUGCCUAAUCUAUACUUCAUUAGCUUUUGCCCUCAAUUUUCAAGCAAUUGAAAAAGGAUAGCUUAACAUACAUGAUGGUUUUAUUAACUUGUGUUCUGGAUAAACUUAUUAGUAACCUCUCUUAGAAAAGCAAAGAGAUCGAAAAGCUUUGCACGGCGGAUGGAAAAAGAGUAAUGGCAUAAACUUUGUUGAUACAGUCGGAACAACAUGGGAGAAGAGUCGAAAAAGGAGAGUUAUAGAUCACAGUGCACAAAAAAAAGAUGGCUCCUAUAUCAAUGAUGAAGAAAGAGCAAUUGGUAAAAUAAUUGAGGAGAUUGAACAACAGGAUGAGUCUUCUAGAGUGUUGUCUCAAAAUGAUUCCAUUGCUCAGGUUUUCGAAAAAGAGAAACCGGGUAGAGUACGUGGUGUGGGUUUUGGACCGACUCCUAGUCAACUCUUCGGUCCGAAUUCACAUGUGCCAGUCAAUAGAGUCCAAGUAGAGGAGACUCAGAGGAAGCUGGUAGAACUGCAGGCAGAGCUGGAAGGCGAGAAGUUGAAGAGGAAGGCGGUGGAGGAUGAGGCAGCAACAGAGAAGAAAAAGAGGCAACGAUGGAAAGUGCUUUGAUUUAUCUGUAUCAACGGCAGGGUGAGGAGCUCCCACUAGACAUCGCUGUAGGGAUGAGUUCCAUAAAAUGAUAGAGUGAAGAAUAGUGUAUUAGGAUUGAAGAUAGUUUAGUUUGAAGCAAACUUUUUUUUUGUUAGUAACGCCAUGCAUGCUUGCAUGAUUUGUCACUCCCUUGGCACGCUUUUGGGGCCACGCUUUCAAAAGCGUGGUCUAAGACUCAAAGCGUGUCAAAAAAAAUUUUUGCU
Non-coding RNA from Arachis ipaensis, 2351 nucleotides. Lineage: Eukaryota; Viridiplantae; Streptophyta; Magnoliopsida; Fabales; Fabaceae. The record is from RefSeq and is a predicted model, not a curated record.